CUGAGUCUGCACAACUCUGCCAGGACCUAGGAUCAAGAGAGACACUCAAGUGUUUUAGUACUAUAUCUCUUGACACAAUGAUGAAAAUAAUCAUGGCCUCUAAACCUACAAGCUGCAUACUGGACCCUAUUCCAACUAAUCUACUGAAAGAGCUGCUUCCUGUGCUUGGCCCACCUAUGUUGAACAUAAUAAACGGCUCUCUAUCCACCGGAUGUGUACCAAACUCACGAAAAGUGGCAGUAAUAAAGCCUCUCUUGUAAAAGCCAAACCUUGACCCAGAAAAUAUGGUGCUGCUUAGUGCUGCUUUUGAUACCAUCGAUCACCACAUUCUUUUGGAAAGAUUGGAAACCCAAAUUGGUCUACACGGACAAGUUCUGGCCUGGUUUAGAUCUUAUCUGUCGGAAAGAUAUCAGUUUGUCUCUGUGAAUGGUUUGUCCUCUGACAAAUCAACUGUAAAUUUUGGUGCUCCUCAGGGUUCCGUUUUAGGACCACUAUUGUUUUCACUAUAUAUUUUACCUCUUGGGGAUGUCAGUCGAAAACAUAAUGUUAACUUUCACUGCUAUGCGGAUGACACACAAGCUGUACAUUUCAAUGAAACAUGGUGAAGCCCCAAAAUUGCCCUCGCUAGAAGCAUGUGUUUCAGACAUAAGGAAGUGGAUGGCUGCAAACGUUCUACUUUUAAACUCGGACAAAACAGAGAUGCUUGUUCUAGGUCCCAAGAAACAAAGAGAUCUUCUGUUGAAUCUGACAAUUAAUCUUAAUGGUUAUACAGUCGUCUCAGAUAAAAUUGUGAAGGACCUCGGCGUUACUCUGGACCCUGAUCUCUCUUUUGAAGAACAUAUCAAGUGUGUUUCAAAAACAGCUUUUUUCCAUCUGCGUAACAUUGCAAAAAUCAGAAACUUUCUGUCCAAAAAUGAUGCAGAAAAAUGUAUCCUUGCUUUUGUCACUUCUAGGUUAGACUACUGCAAUGCUCUACUUUCCGGCUACCCGGAUAAAGCACUAAAUAAACUUCAGUUAGUGCUAAAUACGGCUGCUAGAAUCCUGACUAGAGCCAAAAAAAUGUGAUCAUAUUACUCCAGUACUAGCCUCCCAACACUGGCUUUCUGUCAAGGCAAGGACUGAUUUCAAGGUUUUACUGCUAACCUACAAAGCAUUACAUGGGCUUGCUCCUACCUAUCUAUCUGAUUUGGUCCUCUUGUACAUACCUACACGUACGCUACGGUCACAAGACGCAGGCCUCCUAAUUGUCCCUAGAAUUUCUAAGCAAACAGCUGGAGGCAGGGCUUUCUCCUAUAGAGCUCAAUUUUUAAGGAAUGGUCUGCCUACCCAUGUGAGAGACGCAAACUCGGUCUCAACCUUUAAGUCUUUACUGAAGACUCAUCUCUUCAGUGGGUCAUAUGAUUGAGUGUAGUCUGGUCCAGGAGUGUGAAGGUGAACGGAAAGGCUCUGGAGCAACAAACCGCCUUUGCUGUCUCUGCCUGGCUGGUUCCCCUCUUUCCACUGGGAUUCUCUGCCUCUAACCCUAUUACAGGGGCUGAGUCACUGGCUUACUAAGGUUGGGUCACUGAUGUGAUCUUCCUGUCUGGGUUGGUGCCCGCCCUUGGGUUGUGCCUUGGCGGAGAUCUUUGUGGGCUAUACUCAGCCGUGUCUUAGGAUGGUUAGGAUGGUAAGGAUGGUAAGUUGGUGGUUGAAGAUAUCCCUCUAGUGGUGUGGGGGCUGGGCUUUGGCAAAGUGGGUGGGGUUAUAUCCUUCCUGUUUGGCCCUGUCCGGGGUGUCAUCAGAUGAGGCCACAGUGUCUCCUGACCCCUCCUGUCUCAGCCUCCAGUAUUUAUGCUGCAGUAGUUUAUGUGUCGGGGUGCUAGGGUCAGUUUGUUAUAUCUGGAGCACUUCUCCUGUCCUAUCCGGUGUCCUAUGUGAAUUUAAGUAUCUCUAAUUCUCUCUUUCUCUCUCUCAGAGGACCUGAGCCCUAGGACCAUGCCUCAGGACUACCUGACAUGAUGACUUCUUGCUGUCCCCAGUCCACCUGGCCGUGCUGCUGCUCCAGUUUCAACUGGUCUGCCUGACCUGAGCCCUAGGACCAUGCCUCAGGACUACCUGAUGUGAUGACUCCUUGCUGUCCCCAGUCCACCUCCAGUUUCAACUGUUCUGCCUGUGAUUAUUAUUAUUUGACCAUGCUGGUCAUUUAGGAACAUUUGAACAUCUUGGCCAUGUUCUGUUAUAAUCUCCACCUGGCACAGCCAGAAGAGGACUGGCCACCCCACAUAACCUAGGAAGAAGCCUGGUUCCUCUCUAGGUUUUGGUGUUUCUAGGGAGUUUUUCCUAGCCACUGUGCUUCUACACCUGCAUUGCUUGCUGUUUGGGGUUUUAGGCUGGGUUUCUGUACAGCACUUUGAGAUAUCAGCUGAUGUAUGAAGGGCUAUAUAAAUACAUUUGAUUGGAUGUCAACAGUCUUUAGCUUCCAUUUUGGCUGUAGUGUUUUCAUGCGCGAAGAUGAGAGUUGCGUUCUUUGUCUCUGGUAAAGACAAUAACGAUUCUCCGUCUGAAAUUGUAUUGUUUAUUUACGUAUUAUGGUACCUGAGGUUUGAUUAUAAACGUUGUUUGACUUGUUUGGAGAAGUUUAUUGGUAACGUUUGGGAUCCAUUUUGUAUGUAUUAUGCAUUUUGAAGGAGGGAAACUGGUGGAUUAUUGAAUAAAGCGCAUCAGCUAAACUGAGUUUUUGGGGAUAUAAAGAAGGACUUUAUCAACAAAAGGACCAUUUGUGAUGUAGCUGGCACCUUUCGGAGUGCCAACAGAAGAAGAUCUUCAAAGGGAAGGCAUUUAUUUUUUGUUAUUUCUGACUUUCUGACAUCUGCCUGGUUGAAAAAUGUUUUUAAUGCUUUUGUGUGCUGGGCGCUGUCCUCAGAUAAUCGCAUGGUGUGCUUUCGCCGUAAAGCCUUUUUGAAAUCUGACACAGCGGCUGGAUUAACAAGAAGUGAAGCUUUUAUCUGAUGUAUGACACUUGUAUUUUCAUGAAUGUUAAAUAUGACUGUUUCUGUAAUUUGAAUUUCGCGCUAUGCAAUUUCACCGGAUGUUGUCGAGGUGGGUCACUAGCAGAACGCCUGCGCCAGAAACGUUAAAAUUUAUUUCAAGAAAGUUAUCUGCACACACUGGAUGCAUUUUGCCGUUUGUUUAUCAAGACCAUGAAGAGAGGCUUGGUCUGGGUGGAGGAAACCCACAAUAGCGGUGUCAUCUGCAUAUUUAAAAAAAAUAACUUCUGGGCUGCAUCAGAGGCUUGACAAUCGUUAGUGUACAGUAUCGGUGAAAGUACCCAACCUCGAGGGGCUUCCGUAUUCAACAUUCUAGAUGUAGAGAUGCCGGAGUUAAACUUCAUUUGUUGAGUACGGUUCACAAGGAAGUUAUUUAUCCACUUGAUCAGUUGAGUUGACAGCCAAAUUCAUGAGUUUAUAUACCAGUGGGAUUGGAUGAUGUUAAACGUGCUACUGAAGUCAAUUAAUAAAUUUUUCACUAGGCUAUUUGCCUUCUCUAAAUGUUGUUAUUGUUCAGCAUUACCAGUAACGCAUCAACACCCCUGGAGGCACGGUAUGCAAAUUGAUUUGAGUCUAAUUGGGAUGAGAGACCGGAGGAGAAUUUGUUUUGGAAUAAUCUUUUUCAAAACAUUUCAUAGGUACAGAUGUCAGGGCUACAGCGUGUAAAUCUUUAUUUUCUUUUGGUCUGUUGUUUUUAGGUAUUAAGAAAAUCAGUGACUUCUUCCAUAAGUCUGGAAUUAUCCCAGUGUUCAGUGACCGCUGGAACAGCUUCUGGAAUGGUAAUGCGAGCUGGUCUGAGCAUGCCUGAAGUGCCUUGCUGCUGACGCCAUCUGGACCAUAUGAUUUUCCUGGGUUGAAAGUUGAAAGUAUUGCUUGACAUCAUUCACAGAAAUCAGUAUAUCAACAGCUGGUAUGCUGUCUAUACUGUCCAAGGCCACUUUCUGCUGCGAUGUAAAAUCACACAUGUCAAACCUACAAUGGAAACUGUUCAAAUAAUUUGCAAAGCAAGGUCAUUUUCGACAGUCAUAAUGUCUCUUUGGGUUGUAGCCCUUUCCAGGCUUUCCUACUGUCCUUGUCCUUGAAAAGGUUUUCUAAUUUGUCUUUGUAUGCUGCCUUGCACUCCUUUGCCUCUGAAUAUUUUUUCCUUUCCUCUUUAUUGCAACCUGAUUUAAACAUCUUUUUUUCUGGGCGAGGAGCUCUUUUAAUUCCCGAGUUACCCACUGGUUAUUAUUGGGAAAGAUAAUAAAUUUCUUUUUGGGAAUAACGAGAUCCUCACAGAGUGGGUGUACUCAGAGACGGUAUCCGCUGCCUCUUCCAGGUCAUCGGCGCUGUCUAUCAGGGCCUCCCAGUCAGUGGACUCAAAACAGUCUUGGAGGACUUCAGGAGUCCAGCUUUUAAUCUCCACUUUUUUGGCAUUCUCUCACUGCAGACGCGCUUUGUAGACUUGGAGGAGCUGAACCAUGUUAUCAUCCGAACCCCCAAGAUUGGGUAGUGCCUUGGAAAAAUAUGCACCUGGGAUGUUAACAUAAUAGAUAUGUCCCUCUUCCUGCCCGGAAUGCCUAUGCUGAUCCUAAAGCUACUGUAUGCAGUAAGCAUAUGCCGAUGAACCAGAGUAAUAUUAUUAGCACUGAGGUGGUGUGCCCUAGUAGGAAGUCUACUUUGUGCAGCCCACCCUGCACUAUCAAAAAUAACCCGAGCAUGUCUACCUCUGCUAAGCUUCCCAGAAAGCAAUAAAAAUAAUCAAGCAUCCCAGAAAAGUGUUACAAAUAGCCCAGGUCAACCUCUAGCGUCGAGCAAUCCCGUAUCCGGGAGCGUAAUAAUAGCCUCAAGCUCAUUAGCAUAACGCAACGUUUCCUAUUCAUGAAAAUCGCAAAUGAAAUGAAAUCAAUAUAUUGGCUCACAUGCUUAGCAUUUUGUUAACAACACUGUCAUCUCAGAUUUUCAAAAUAUGCUUUUCAACCAUAGCUACACAAGCAUUUGUGUAAGAGUAUUGAUAGCUAGCAUAGCAUUAAGCCUAGCAUUCAGCAGGCAACAUUUUCACAAAAACAAGAAAAGCAUUCAAAUAAAAUCAUCUACCUUUGAAGAACUUCAGAUGUUUUCAAUGAGGAGACUCUUAGUUAGAUAGCAAAUGUUCAUUUUUUCCAAAGAUUAUUUGUGUAGACGAAAUAGCUCCGUUUUGUUCAUCACGUUUGGCUAAGAAAAAUACCGGAAAAUGCAGUCACUUACAACGCGAACUUUUUUCCAAAUUAGCUCCAUAAUAUCGACAGAAACAUGGCAAACGUUGUUUAGAAUCAAUCCUCAAGGUGUUUUUCACAUAUCUAUUCGAUAAUCUAUCAGUGGUAGCAGUUGGCUUCUCAUCAGAAGCAAACGGAAAAAUACUGCAGCUGGAGAUUACGCAAUAAUUGUGACGGAGGACACCAAGCGACCACCUGGUAGAUGUAGUCUCUUGUGGUCAAUAUUCCAAUGAUAUGCCCACAAAUACGUCACAAUGCUGCAGACACCUUGGGGAAAACGUGGAAAACGUAAGCUGACUCCUAGCUCCUUCACAGCUAUAUAAGGAGUCAUUGGCAUGAGGCGAUUUCAAAAAAUGUGGCACUUCCUGAUUGGAUUUUUAUCUGGGUUUUUUCUGUAACAUCAGUUCUGUGGCACUCACAGACAAUAUAUUUGCAGUUUUGGAAACAUCAGUGUUUUCUUUCCAAAGCUGUCAAUUAUAUGCAUAGUCGAGCAUCUUUUCGUGACAAAAUAUCUUGUUUAAAACGGGCACGUUUUUCAUCCAACAUUUUUAUUAGCGCCCCCUAUAUCCAAGAAGUUAACAUAUGUUGCUUAAGAAACAAGUUUCACAAAAUCAACCAUUUGCUAGUAACAUAUGACAUUCAUAUUCUGACAACUUCUGAAACUCACUUAGAUAAUACCUUUGAUACAGUGGUAGCAUUAGAAGGUUAUAACAUUUACAGUAAAGACAGAAAUGCCAGAAAGUGUUGCGGUCUAUAUUUAGAACCACAUCGUGGUAAAGCUUAGAGAAUAUCUCCUGUUGAAGUAAUAUGGCUACAGGUUCAAAUGCCUCACCUAAAGCCCAUUCUGGUAGGAAGCUGCUGCCAAGUGCUAAGAGUUAGUAUCUGGAUAACGUGUGAAAUUCUUGAUAGUGUAUGUGAUAUCAAUACAGCGGUAUACUUUCUGAUUUUAAAUAUUGACUGGCUUUCAUUAGGAUGCCCACUCGAGAGAGCUUCAAACUGUAACUAGUACCUGCAACCUGGUUCAGGUUAUCAAUCAACCUGGUCAUUUAUGAACAUUUGAACAUCUUGGCCAUGUUCUGUUAUAAUCUCCACCCGGCACAGCCAGAAGAGGACUGGCCACUCCACAUAACCUGGUUCCUCUCUAGGUUUCUUCCUAGGUUUUGGCCUUUCUAAGGAGUUUUUCCUAGCCACCGUGCUUCUACACCUGCAUUGCUUGCUGUUUGGUGUUUUAGGCUGGGUUUCUGUACAGCACUUUGAGAUAUCAGCUGAUGUACGAAGGGCUAUAUAAAUAAAUUUGAUUUGAUUUGAUGCACCCAUUAAGACAAUGAAAACGUGUAUGGUUGAGAGGGAUGAGGAAAAAGAGAUGGAAAAUAUGUCUGGCUGUACAACCGAUUGGCAAACGUACUGUAAAUUGAGAAAUCAUGCGACUAAACUGAAUUAAAAGAAGAAACGAUAAAUUACUUAAAGAAUGAUAGUAAAAUGCUUUCGAGCACCUUAAAUUACAUUUUAGGCAAAAAGUUAAACUCUGCUUGAGCACGGGGACCCUGCGUAGGCUGCAGGAUUUUAAUCCAUGAUGGCGUAGUGUGUUAAUAAUGGUUUUCUUUGAGUCCCAGCUCUCUCCAGGUUAUUGACCAGGUCCUGCCAUGUAGUUCUGGGCUGAUCCCUCACCUUCCUCAUGAUCAUAGAUGCCCCACGAGGUGAGAUCUUGCAUGGAGCCCCAGACCGAGGAUGAUUGACCCUCAUCUUGAACUUCUUCCAUUUUCUAAUAAUUCCUCCAACAGUUGUUGCCUUCUCACCAAGCUGCUUGCCUAUUAUCCUGUAGCCCAUCCCAGCCUUGUGCAGGUCUACAAUUUAACCCUGAUGUCCUUACACAGCUCUCUGGUCUUGGCCAUUGUGGAGAGGUUGGAGUCUGUGUGAUUGAGUGUGUGGACAGGUGUCUUUUAUACAGGUAAUGAGUGGAGAACAGGAGGGCUACUUAAAGAAAAACUAACAGGUCUGUGAGAGCUGGAAUUCUUACUGGUUGGUAGGUGAUCAAAUACUUAUGUCAUGCAAUAAAAUGCAAAUUAAUUACUUAAAAAUCAUACAAUGUGAUUUUCUGGAUUUUUGUUUUAGAUUCCGUCUCUCACAGUUGAAGUGUACCUAUGAUAAAAAUUACAGACCUCUACAUGCUUUCUAAGUUCCCUCUUCCCUGAUCAAGAGGUGAUGACCCCUCCACUCCUCUACCAUUGUCAACUGUCUCCUGACAUAAACUGAAGCCAUGUCACAUGUGCCCGUUCAUCAACUGGCACACUGAAUGUUUCCUCUCCAAGUACUUCAAAUCCUGUCCUGUUCUCAGUGGAAGAUUUGAGCUCUUCUCCAACACCAUCCAUCCAUGAUGAACCUGUCCUGUAAUGAAGACUAUGAACACCUCAACCACUGUCCUGCACUGAGGUCAAGCCUCUGAACUCCCCAACUCAUGCCUCAUACCCUCAUUCAAUCACUGCUGUGAUCCAUUCCCAACACUGUGUAAGUAGCCCUCUCAUUCACAUUCCCCAUAAUAUUGUACUGUAAAUGUGUUUAUUAAAUGCUUUAGGCUAAAAGUCUUUGAUUUUUGAAACACAUUUUCAUCUCUGUGCAUUCCGUGCCUAUACCGUCGGUCUCCCAUCCUCCUCAAUGUUUCAAGUCACCAGCCUUCACUGACAGAACACAACUGUGAAGAGUUUUCACAAAUAUUAGCGUCAUAGCUCUUGUGGGACUUUAACAGGGGGAAAUUACCUCACAAUUCAGUCUUUUAAUCUAUGGAUCUUGGGUCAAUUAAAUGGGAUAAUCAGCCUACUCCAUGACACCCACAGACUGGUGAUUUUAGCAUGUAAAUCUUGGUGCGACAAAAAAAAAAAUCAACAUGUUUUAGAUGCAUGCAGCAAAGCCACAACACUAAACAAUACAUUAAUUGCACUAUAACAGUGAGCACAAACUGUUAGCGCCUACAUAAACAGCAGAGCUUUUUCAGCACCAUGGAGUGAACCCUGCUACACCUGGUUAUAAGUGCAGGUGGCCUAGUGGUUUAGAGCGUUGUCAGCUCGGGGAUUACUGUUCCACGGUAAAGAAGUUGUUCUGCCCCUGAACAAGGCAGUUAACCCACGCGGGGGCCAGUCUUGUAUAGGCGUAACGGAAAUUUUGGUGACCUUAUUUGACCUUUUCUGCUGCUUUUGAGACACGGUUUGAUCUCUCCUUGGUGCACUACUUGAUUAAGUAAGUACACAAGUAUAAACACCAUGGGACCAUGCAGCCGUCAUACCGCUCAGGAAGGAGACGCGUUCUGUCUCCUGGAGAUGAACGUACUUUGGUGGGAAAAGUGCAAAUCAAUCCCAGAACAACAAAGGACCUUGUGAAGAUUCUGGAGGAAACAGAUGCAAAAGUAUCUAUAUCCACAGUAAAACGAGUCCUAUAUUGACAUAGCCUGAAAGGCCGCUCAGAAAGGAAGAAGCCACGGCUCCAAAACCACCAUAAACAACAAUAACAAAGAACCUUGUGAAGAUGUUGGAGGAAACCGGUACAAAAGUAUCUACAGUUGAAGUCGGAAGUUUACAUACCUUAGCUAAAUACAUUUAAACUCAGUUUUUCACUAUUCCUGACAUUUAAUUAUAGUAAAAAUGUUUUAGGUCAGAUACCCUACUAAUUGAGUGUAUGUAAACUUCUGACCCACUGGGAAUGUGAUGAAAUAAAUCAUUCUCUACUAUUAUUCUGACAUUUCACAUUCUUAAAAUAAAGUGGUGAUCCUAACCUACCUAAGACAGGGAAUUUUUACUAGGAUUAAAUGUCAGGAAUUGUGAAACAGUUUAAAUGUAUUUGGCUAAGGUGUAUGUAAAUGUCCGACUUCAACUGUAUUAUUCUAAUAUGUAUUCAUUAUAGAAUUGUGUCAGUUAUUAAUGAUAAACCUACACAUACAUAAAAUGUAUUACAAUUUAUUUACAUUGGGUGUAUGUGAGAGGGAAAGCACACAUUAAGCCAUAGUCUUUUACAAUAUUAUCAAUCACACUUUGAUUUCAUAGAUCUUGAGAAUGGAUAUGAAGGCGUAGAUAUCUCCAAUCCUAAAAUAAAAUGGUGCGAUCAUUAAAUAAACAAGUCUUUACAACUUAUUUACAUUGUGGAUAAUGUGUGUGAGUGCAUGUUUUAUUUAUUUUUCCUUGUCAGCCACCCAUCUCUGCUUUGUCAGUCUUGAUAGGCCCAGUGUCUUCUGGGUA
This is a long non-coding RNA of Oncorhynchus masou masou (cherry salmon), 9483 nucleotides long. RefSeq lists it as uncharacterized. The record is from RefSeq and is a predicted model, not a curated record. The transcript has 3 exons. Lineage: Eukaryota; Metazoa; Chordata; Actinopteri; Salmoniformes; Salmonidae.